UCAGUCCUCUGAAAACCUGAUGAAUGAAGUUGGGUUUAGUGAGGCUGUGAAGCCAAGGGCAAAGGAGGACUGAAACUGGAGGACCUUUCACCAUGAAGCACUGAGCCAGAGGAAUGCUCCUGCAUCAUGCUCUUUGCUGCAGGACUCUAGGAUCCCUCAUGGGACAGGUCCCAGGGCCACCCUGCUUCCAGAAACAUUGGCUAUGAUGGACAAGCCCACACGGAAAAGUCUGCCAGUAGUCAAAGCCUUUGAUAGCUUGUAAUAUCCUUAAGGGUAUAUUUAUUGUACUGAAAACAGGAAACUUUUGUUGUUGUUGUUUUGAUACUUUUACCUGAUAAUUAUACUCAGCAUUUCACCUGUAUCCUUGGGCUGGGAAAGAGCUAUGGCUGUUUAUUUUCUCAGAGCUAUUUCUGAUUCUCUCUUUAUUUCCUUCUUUCCCCUCCCCCCAGGCUGAAUUGCUGUUUCCCACUGUCCUUUUUAAAGUAACUAUCCUAGAAGCUGCAAUAUCCUUCUAUUCAGUGGUCCUUGGAGCUUGUCCUCCCUUCCUUUCCUAGUUCUAUUUUUAAAAAGAAUGUAGUAGAAAUGCACACUUUAUCAACACCUUUCUGCACAUUGUGAUACAAUUCCAGUCCUUUUCUAAUGGUUACUAAUGCUUAAUGCAGUGUUUUGGGGUUUUAACUUGGCAACUUAUUUGCAUAAGAUUGCAGUACCUGCCAAUAGAGCUCUGCUCUGAAUGGGGACAGCCGGUCAAAGCCUGGCUUUGUUUAUGUGAAAGGAUUAUUUUCUCUGUUUAGGUGAUUCUGCAUUUAUCUCCGUAGUUUUUUUCUUUUGUUUCAGUCUUGUGCAAGCCAUAAGAUGUGACUACAUCGCCCUGCAGUCAGCUUUUUUUGCUUUUACUGGAUGCAGUAGUGUUACUCAUACUUUCUGGGAGUGGGAGGGCUGGGAGGUCUAAUAGAGUUCUUAGAAGAGGUCUGACAAAGGUAACAGAGUCUCCAAAGGUAUUAAACUGUCCUAAAGGAGAUACUACCUCCUUUGGAGAGAUAACUGUACCAAAGGAGAUAUGCUAUUCCUAGCAGGACUGGAAAGUUACUAAGAAGCCCUUGGCUUGGCCAGACAGCUCCGAACCACUUCAUGCCCAGAUGCAACCUGUUGUUUCUAACACAUCCAAGGUAGACAAAAUUUUGCUUUCUGGCCCACCGUGUUUAAUAUUGAAUCCAAAAAGGCAACAGAUUCAAACUUUUCCUGAGAAUGUUUUAAGCAAGUGUCACUCCAUUUACAUGCUGCUCCCUAGAUUUUAGGACAAACUUGAAAACAACUGAAGCCCAGGUCUAUUUUAUCUCCUUUUUAUUUUCACUUUCAUACCAAAAAAAAGUCUUGACAUAGUCACAUCAAUGAGAACAAAGCUGCGAUGUGCACUUGGACAACAACGAUCAUAUAAGGAUUUAAAAUAUAUUGUUUUACUGUUUGCAAUAGCAAUGUUAGUUUGCUUUUACUUCUUAAAUAUCCCCAACACCAAAUUGCUGCGCUUGAAAUUCUUGGAAGUCCUCUGGGAUGGUGUCUGAAAAUAGGAAAAUAUGCAGAAGUUUAGUCUUUUCUGACAAAAUCAAGGAGCCAUUAAAUUAAUGAAUAAGCCACCUCUCCUCUUUUUUUUAGGUAACAUGCUUCUCUUUUGUUUACACCUUAAGAAUGAACAGGGAAUGUUUUCAGUUUUAGCUGUACACCACUGAAAAUCACAGAGAGGCUAACGAGGCAUGAGUGCUAUAGUGCCAGGCCACAACAGAGUAUUAUCAAUCUUCAGAUUACAUUUUUUUGAAAACUUUGUGCCUUGCACUCUUAAACUUUGAUAAAUAAAUGCUGACCAGAAAGGCAAAAGAAGUGGUUGUCUUGCUCUGCACACCAGACAUGUUUGCAGUGUCAGCAUUUCUAUUUCUCAUGUAUCCUAAUUCAACUUCCCUGUGAUGGUUUCCCAUGCCACAAGAAGGGACAAAAAACAUUAACCUCAGGACAAAUAGCAACUGGCAGAAAGACCUGACCUGAGACUUGGCGAAGGGAGCUGGAGAUGGAUCAAUGUCAUAAGAGUAGCUACAGUUCUGUUUGAAGUGCUGUUUGCAGUCUGCCUUUGCCAGGUCCCAGAACAUUUUAUCUGGAGAGCCACAGAGCCAACUGUAGAGCUAAGGCUGCAGCCAACAAUGAAGCCACAGGAGUGAAACUCAACUGCAUGACAUCAGCUUUAAUAUGAUUAUUUCCACCCUGAUGCAGGACAGGUAAUUCUAAACUCAAAAAAGGAUGUAACUGUAUAAACACACACAGUAUAUAGAAAAAAAAAAAGGGAUAAGUCCUUUGGUUUUUGUUGAACACUUUUUUUAAGGCUUGAAAUUAUUUUCAAGCCUUUUCUGCAAAUGUAGGAACUUGUCAGAAAUGAGAUCAGAGAUACCUGGGGACUCCAGAGACUUUCUGACUGGGUUUCAUUAACUUCUGUAGCUCCUGCAGCAAAGCCAGCUGCCUGCUUACUGCCAGGUAAGUAUGACUCAGUGGCAGCUUUGGGAAAAUGUGUAUUGUUUAAGAUGUAUAGAAGUAAUUUUUAAUUGUAAGCACUGCUGUCUAGAAGUUCCCCUGUUUAACCAUGACCUCCAAGUGCCAGCCUAGUGUACCAGAUGUCCAAGAACUAGAGUCCAUCAGCAGAACACACCACAGAGUGGCCAUGCAGCCCCCUACAGGAGCUGGACAAGGAAACUAUUUCAACUUGGCUGGUAAAUUGUUUUCUAAAGGCUGGGUAGGGAUUGAUGCUACUAUCUAGCUGAAUCUAGCUGAACUGCUUCAAUCUAGCUGAACUGCUGCCAGGGCAGAAAUACCCUGAUGUGAUCAGCUUCUGUGUGGAGUCAUCAAGGUUUGAGAUAUUUUACAUAGUGGGAGAUCAGAGCUAAGCUGCAAGGCUCUUGCACCAAAAGAAGCAAGACAGCACUCUCCCACAGAGUCAGAAGGAUUCCUCCAUGGGAGGAAAGGCAUUUUAUGAUCUUCCCCUCGCACACACAGGAGCAACCAGCAAGUACAUGAGUGACACUGAUGCCUAGUGAUUGAGCCCACUGGCCCUCCAGGUAUAUUUCACCCUUUAUUCAAAGCUCGAGGCAUCCUACAUAUGUGAUGGCCUGAGGUAUUUAUUGUGUGUGUACAGCUCUCACGGUCAGUUGUUUUUAAAUAAUGUUCCUGAUUCUCUGAUGACAGCUAUACUACUCAGUUGGCACAAUCUGCAGCUCUGGGAGGAGCAGCUCUGAGGCAUUACUUCCCAUCUAGUGGGGCUGCACUGUGCUGCUGGUGUUUCACAGGGGAGGUGUUUCACAGCUGUGAAAAACUUGUAAAUGAAAGGCAAAGGAAAGGAUCAAAAUGGCUUAAUCCAACAGCCACACUACCAGUUCUUCAUGGUCACUUGCUAGUUGUGAGCUAAAAGGAAGUAAGAGCUAUAUUACCAUUGCAGCGAUAUUUCAGGUUAGACCAAAUAAUGUUUUCCUGAGAGAAGCAGAAAACUCCAAGCCGUCCUCCACGCAUUGUGGUGUCUAUAGUUACACCAGAGUCUGCCACGAGGUCAGAGCCUUCAUAAAAUCUUGCCCUUAAUGAAAGCAAAUAGAAAGCUCUAUUAGGUCUUUUCUAAGGCUGCAACAUUCCUGAAAGUAAUGUUGUUAUCCAUGGAGACUCUAGCCUUGGACAUGUUAUCCCUCCCGUCUAGCCCAGGGGAGAAAAAGCAGUUAAGCUAGCUCCUCUGUAGGCUGGAAACUAAAGGAAUGCUGCAUGGUGGCAAGAGCCAGCCAGGGAGGGUGUGUUGGGGAGUUUCUACACAUCCUAAAAAAGCCCUGGAAUGUUUAGUCAAUCAGGCUGAGAGCUUUAGCUCUUGAAAUUUUCCACAGUCGAUAAUAAUAGGAGAAAGGGUGAACCAGACUAGAUCAGUUGAAAAAAGCCAGAUGGAUAUUGUCUCACACAGUUUGAAACUGAGGGGUUUUUGUUGUUUUUUUUUUUUUUUUAAUAGGCAAGGUUUCAAACAAACCAUUUGGAACCUUAAACUUGUCUGUGAGAUGUCUUCAGAAAUAAGAACAUCUGCAAGAUGGAGGAAGAACGAACCAGACAGUAUUCACCUACAAGAGACAUACAACUUGAAACCAAACACACACACACACAAGCAGGAAAAGGUAUACAUUCAUGUCAGGAAUGCACCUCAGUUAUUCUCCAUACAAAAAAGCUUAUUUUCAAGCCUGCAAUGACACAAAGGGGGCAGACUGCCUUGCAUACUUUGGAUUAAUGAUGAUGAAAGAUGCUGUGGGAGUCACUGUUUAUCUUGGACUGCUGAUAGGGAGAUGACAGGAAGCUGUGCCAACUCCUGGUUGGUAGGCAGAAGAAGAAAAGCUGUUGUAGUCAAACAGAUGAGGACUGCACUCUGGCACCCCAAGAGUACGCCCUUUCUUUUGUCUUUUUAGUCCCUGUGGUUUAUUACGAAGAGGAAAGCCCCAUACUCAGUCAAGCAUUGCUCAUACUGAACAGCUGAUGAAGAUCUGCCCUUACUGUACCAGCUAAGUCUUGCAAAAAGUCCAGUCCCCAAAAAACACCUAUACGGAAGUGAAGGAUGCACUAAUUUUUUGGUUUUCACUUAAAAAGCUAAAACCUGUGUUUAAAACAAAUAGCACAAUUAUUAUGGGGUUCAUGUAAGCAAAGAUUUCACCUGUUCCACAGAAGUUAUAUUUACAUUUAUUUCACAACUUAAUAGUCAAGUAUUACUGAAGCACUAUUGUACAGAGCUUGGCUGCUGCAAGGGCUGAGGUCUGAAUUCAGCGAUCCAGAGGAUUGCUGGUGACCCCUCAAAGUGUUCAGCCUGUUCCCGGUUUUCGUGCUCACCUGUGGUUUCUCCUGGAAAAUGCGCAACUCAACUGUCACCAACUUCUGAGACAGCAUUGAAAAUGGUUUUGGCAGGUCCUCAAUGGCACCUACUUGCAGGCAGUCCAGAUACAGCUCUAUCGUGCUCAAUCCCUGCUGCAGACCACUCAGCCACAAGAUGACAGCAUGGGGCUUCCCAUCAGCCAGCUGGAUGUUGCUAAAGAUCACGGAAUUCAGCCUUCCAUUACUCUUCAGAUAGCGCAGCACCACUAGGACAAAAUACAUAGAAGGACUGUCAGAGGGUAACAGACAUCCAAGGCUGAUCAAGGAAAAUCCUGUGGAAAUCCGCAAUCGCCCUGGUAUUUUACCAAAUGUCAGCUUUUGUAAAUGCAUCCCAUAUGCAGACAUAAUAAUAAUGUAAUAAUAAAUGGGACAUCAACCCAGAGCAGCACUACCAGGACUCUUGCAUGACACUCUAGUCGUAAAGCAUUGCUCCCUGCACAGUGUUUUCCAUUUCUUUGUCCUGGCCUCUCU
Long non-coding RNA from Chiroxiphia lanceolata (lance-tailed manakin), 5391 nucleotides. RefSeq lists it as uncharacterized. The transcript is spliced from 3 exons. Lineage: Eukaryota; Metazoa; Chordata; Aves; Passeriformes; Pipridae. The record is from RefSeq and is a predicted model, not a curated record.